RNAcentral lists this unclassified non-coding RNA (1751 nucleotides) under Hevea brasiliensis (rubber tree). The record is from RNAcentral. Lineage: Eukaryota; Viridiplantae; Streptophyta; Magnoliopsida; Malpighiales; Euphorbiaceae.
CAAUUAUUUAUUAUUUACUUAUAAAUAUUUUAAUCAAACAUAUAAUUGCUUAAAAUUUUAAAUACUUACGAGUUUAAAUUAACUAAAGUGGUUAUAGUUAAUUUCCAUGGGUUAAAGCUAAACACCCUCUAAUUCAAACAUGAGAAAGAAGGUUCACCAUGGAUGGACGUGGUCUACAUUUAACUAUCAAGGGCUGAGCUUUGGGCAUUGUUAGUCCAGCGCCCUCGGUCAUGUCCACCAUUUCCUUGCCAACUCUCUCCCAGUCAAAGCACUGAAGGACUGAACCCAAGGUCAAACUAACCAUGUGCAAGGCCAAGCUCUCUCCAGGACAACUCCUCCUUCCAGACCCAAAAGGCAUCAACCGAAAACCGUCCCUUACCCCUGCCUCACACCCUUCAAAUCUUUCUGGUUUGAAUUUCCUGGGCUCCUCCCAAACUCGAGGAUCAUUCUGUAUGCUCCACAUGUUCACUAUCAGCAUUGUGCCAGGUGGUACACGAUAGCCUCCUAUAGAGCACUCCUCUGACGACUCGUGAGGAACCAACAGUGGACCUGGUGGGUACAUUCUCAUGACUUCACUUAUAAUGCAGUGAAGAUAGGGAAUCUUUAAUGUAUCAGACUCAGUCAUUAAGCGAUCAUGUCCGAUGACAUUAUCAAUUUCGUUCUGAGCUUUCUUCAAAAUUUCAAUAUCAUUCACUAAAAGUGACAUUGCCCAUUCCAUGGUUACAGCUGAAGUAUCGGUUCCUGCUGCCAGUAGAACCAGCAUAAGGCUUUUGAUAGUUUCAUCCGUGUAGUACUCAGGAUCCGAUCGUUGCAGCGUCAACAAGACCUCAAUCAAUGUCUUAUUUUUCUCCUCAGAGGGUGAGAUGCUCAUUCUUUUUCUAUGUUCUUCGAUCAAAACUUGUAUAAACCCAUCUCUCCUCUCUUGCAAAUCAAGCAUUCUCUUCUCUACGCCUCCUAUCUUGGCUAAUAAGGGCAAAUAGUCCCCCAUGUUAGAUGUGCCAGCAGACUGGAACGUCUCCCUCACGAUCCUCCGAAAACUUGCCGCCGCCUCCUUUUCUUCCACGUUCUCACCGUAGUAUCUCUUCCCAGCUAUCAUCCUCAUCAUCACGUUCAGCAUCAGCUCAAAGAAGGCAGAUUUCAAAUCCACCGUCUCAUCUUUACUCUUAAACAAACGACGGAUCAGCAACUUCACCUCAUCGCUUCGUAUGCUAGACAGUAACUGGAGACGGUGAGAGGAUAGGAUUUCGAGGGAGGAUAAUUUACGGAGAUUGCGCCAAAGAUCGCCAUAAGGAGCCCAAACAAGGCUGGUGUAGUUGUAGCCUAAGUGUUUGCCAUGGAGGAGGCGUGGACGGUUGGCGAAGACGACGUCAUUCUUGGUAAAACAUUCCUCCACGGCUGAUGGGGAGGAGACAAGCAAUACACGGCGGUAGCCAAACUGAAGGAUAAGUACGGGACCGUAACGGUUAGAUAUGGCGGAAAGGGAACGAUGGAGAGGUUUGUGGAGGAGGUGUAGGUGGCCUAUUAUGGGGAGGGCAGGGAAUGGGCUUGGUGGGAGAUUUCGGAUCUUGUUGAGGAAAUGCUUGGUGAGCACAUAGAGAACCAGAAAGAGAAGGAAUUGUAAGAUCAUGGCGAUGAGUAAACAGUGAAAGAAUAUUGGUGGGCAGAAGUGGAGUCAAUAUGGAAGACAGAAUUGCAUUAUUAAAGACUGGCUGGGGCUGUGAGGUCAAUAGAAAUUAUAACUACACCAAAAU